GCGAAACAGGUGACAAACUUUUUGAAAUGAACUAUACCUAUAUAUAGGAAUAUAAAAAAGGAACUUUGUAUUUUAGGAGGAUGAUUAUGUAUAAAAAAUGUGCAGUGUUUAUGUUUAUAAGUUUAUGUUAGAAGCGUUUAUGGGUAAGAUGGUAGCUUACCUGGUAGAGGAUCGCGCGAAGCGGCGCGCGACGGAGGCGCCAGCUAGCGGCGGCAAAAAAAGGGGCUAUUCCAUUUUUUGGGGGUAGGAAGUAGGAAAACGGGGUGCAGAUGUUUUGGGGCUACAAAAAAAGGUUGUCGGCUGAGUGCGCGGAAUUUCCGCUCUAUCUUACGCCGAAACGCCCUCGUCUCCCACGCGCCGCCCUCCUGCUGCAUUGUGCCCUAUCGCCCAUCCAUCGGUGCCCUCCUAUAUCAUUCUCUAGCUUCAGGAUUAUUAUUCUCUAGCUUCGGGAUUACAUUCGACCGUGCACCUGUGCACGGAAAAAAUCCCUUAUAUCUAGCUUGUCUCGAACCUCCGACCGCAGCUAUGCCGUCCUAUUACCUAACCUACUAGGCUAUCUGGACUGCUUGACGGUAUCUCUUCGGAGCUGCUAUUUCAGCCGGCCAACGCGUUGUUGAGGGCCUCUGCGACGCAUGCGCUGUCCGGGUGUCUCGCCGGCUCAGUCCUUGCCGAUUGCGCGCUGCGCUUCGACGCCGCGAUUCGCUUUGGCGGUCGGAUCUUUUGCGCGUGUGGACCCAUUCCUAUUGCUGUGCUUCCUAUUGCGGCCGCUCCGCUAUUUCUGCGGGACCCGAAAAGGUGCCCCGCUUGAACCGUCGUUUCCACGGGGCUCCGACCUCC
Molecule: long non-coding RNA, 837 nt
Filed under: Androctonus crassicauda
Lineage: Eukaryota; Metazoa; Arthropoda; Arachnida; Scorpiones; Buthidae
Source: RNAcentral